ACGGCGAGUGAAGCGGCAACAGCUCAAAUUUGAAAUCUGGCCGUAAGGUCCGAGUUGUAAUUUGUAGAGGAUGUUUUGGGUACCGCCCCGGUUUAAAUUUCUUGGAACAGAAUGUCAAAGAGGGUGAGAAUCCCGUCUUGGACCGGGGUAGGGCCUGUGUAAAACUCCUUCGACGAGUCGACUUGUUUGGGAAUGCAGGUCAAAAUGGGUGGUAAAUUUCAUCUAAAGCUAAAUAUUGGCCAGAGACCGAUAGCGCACAAGUAGAGUGAUCGAAAGAUGAAAAGCACUUUGAAAAGAGAGUUAAACAGUAUGUGAAAUUGUUGAAAGGGAAGCGCUGGCAACCAGACUCGAGCGCGGUGUUCCCCCUGGCUUCUGCCUGGGUUACUUCACCGUGUCCGGGCCAUCAUCAGUUUUGGGGGUCGGUCAAAGGCUCUGGGAAUGUAUCCAACCCUCCGGGGUUGGACUUAUAGCCCAGGGUGUCAUGCGACCUCCCGGGACUGAGGAACGCGCUUCGGCGAGGAUGAUGGCGUAAUGGUUGUCAGCGACCCGUCUUGAAACACGGACCAAGGAGUCUAACAUCUAUGCGAGUGUUCGGGUGUCAAACCCUUGCGCGUAAUGAAAGUGAACGGAGGUAGGAAGGCGCAAGCCUGCACUAUCGACCGAUCCUGAUGUCUUCGGAUGGAUUUGAGUAAGAGCAUAGCUGUUGGGACCCGAAAGAUGGUGAACUAUGCGUGAAUAGGGUGAAGCCAGAGGAAACUCUGGUGGAGGCUCGCAGCGGUUCUGACGUGCAAAUCGAUCGUCAAAUUUGCGUAUAGGGGCGAAAGAC
This 826-nucleotide ribosomal RNA is filed under the name Anthracina ramosa. RNAcentral's name for it is "eukaryotic LSU rRNA". It matches the Rfam family "Eukaryotic large subunit ribosomal RNA", at positions 86 to 931 of the family's 3401-position model. Lineage: Eukaryota; Fungi; Ascomycota; Eurotiomycetes; Chaetothyriales; Trichomeriaceae. The record is from RNAcentral.